Molecule: long non-coding RNA, 394 nt
Organism: Amphiprion ocellaris (clown anemonefish)
Lineage: Eukaryota; Metazoa; Chordata; Actinopteri; Pomacentridae
Source: Ensembl
GGCUGUUUGCGCUGCCUUUGUGUCCCUUCUGUCUGUUUCACAGAACCAUCUGCUUAAUCGUGGGCAUGAUACCUUGAUGCUUACCUGAAUCAGCAGUAAACAGGGACAGCAGCUACAGAAACACACCUGGUGGACACAGAGAGACAGCUGCCCAGCAGCUACCUCCAGCAUGUCAAACAAAAAUUUGCAUUUCUCUGUCAGGCCAGUCACCUGAUAAAAAGACACGUCGUUACAUGUCAGACGACGCUUCUGAGGAUGACUGCAGAUGCAGUCGAAACAUGUCAAGUCACCACCAGGAAAUCAUCACCUCAAUCAAAUCCAACUACUCCGAUCACCAAGCUCCACCACCAGCACCAGUCCAUGCCAAUAUGUUCUGCUUCCCCAAGCCAGCAUU